RNAcentral lists this long non-coding RNA (1343 nucleotides) under Marmota monax (woodchuck). The record is from RNAcentral. Lineage: Eukaryota; Metazoa; Chordata; Mammalia; Rodentia; Sciuridae.
GGUGCCCCAGCUCAUCUGCCACCCAGCAGAGCUGACCAGCCAGACGCCCGCCCAGCAGCCAGCACCAGCAGAGGUGUUUGAGGAUGUCACCUUCACAGAUGUCAGUCACUUAAUUCUCCUGACGACCCAUUUGAUAGAGAAGACGGAGACCUAAAAGGCAAAACCGCGUGUCCAGCAUCUGGGACAGUAACGAGCAAGGUUGGGGGUCCCAUGCGCUGUGCGACCUAGACAUUUUGCUUGACCUCUCUGGGCUUCCAAUUCCCCACUGGAAAAAUAGGAAAACAGAACCUGCUUCCCAGCAUCCUCAGGGACUCAGUGAGUCCAGGUGCACUGGUGGCUGGGGACGUCCAGGGGCCAGCUGGGGUCCCACAGGGCAGGAGGAGGCCCUGUACCUGCCCCGCCUGGGCUUGCGGGGCCUCACUGCCCUGAUCCUGCAGAGCCCUGGCCGCCCUGGCCGCGGGAGCCCCAGGCCUGUCCCUCCCUUCCUUUCUCACUUGCCGUGUUGGGACACCGACCCCAGGAGCACAGACCCCGUGAGUCCGGUUCUCAUCCACCUCGUCCUCUGCUGGGUCCCACAGUUGGCAAGGGCCCGGGAGCAGUGGGUGCUCAAACAGGCAUCUGUGUGAAGGACUGCGGGCACUGUGGGGAGUGUCCAGCCCUGCAGGCGCUCGAGUACCGCGGGGACACUGGGGACCCAGGAGGGGACCAGGUUCUGGCCCCCCAUGUCUCUCCCUCUCUCUCUGUCCCCACCCCUCCCUCUCUCCUGCUCCCCUCUUGUCCCCCCACCCUGCCUGCAUCUGGUCUCCUCGCUGUCCCAGCCCUGAUCCUGGCCACCCCUGCCCCGCUUCCCACAUUGCCUUCUCCCCGUCCCGCCUCCAGCCUGUGAUCUUCCCGCCAACGAGGAGCAGGACCCACGCGGGACGGGGAACUGGACACACUGGCCCCACGGGUACUUCCCCGCCGUGGGACAGGGUGAGUCCGCCCCUGGUCAGGAGCCUCAUUCUCCUCAUCCAUACCCGGGCAGAGGGAGCCCAGCACUCGUGGGAAGCCCGUCAUGGGGGAAGGGCUGGGCCUCUGGGCUGCCCGGGGACCCGCCCGCCUGCUGCCCACAGGGCCCACAGCUGCUCCCGGCUGCUGCUGCGAGCCAGGAGGGGCCUCAGCUGUGAAGGCCCAGCUCCCUGGAGGCGGGAACUGCUGCUCGGUUGUCCCUGGCUGGCCUGGGCUUGGCGAGUCCUGAAUUAACAGCAAGAAUGUGGCCCCACUGCAUACCAUCCCAGGCAGCAAUCACUCCCGCCCUCCUGGAGUCCAGGCCUGGACCCCCCCCAGGACUCAGCCAAGCCGAC